CCUACGGGUGGCAGCAGUGAGGAAUAUUGGUCAAUGGGCGCGAGCCUGAACCAGCCACGUCGCGUGAAGGAUGACGGUCCUACGGGUUGUAAACUUCUUUUGUAGAGGAAUAAAGUCAGGCACGUGUGCCUUUCUGUCUGUACUUUAUGAAUAAGGAUCGGCUAACCCCGUGCCAGCACCCGCGCUAAGACGGAGGGUGCGAGCGUUAUCCGGAUUUAUUGGGUUUAAAGGGAGCGUAGGUGGGAUGUUAAGUCAGGUGUGAAAGUUAGCGGCUCAACCGCAGAAUUGCAAUUGAUACUGGCAGUCUUGAGUGCAGGAGAGGUAGGCGGAAUUCGUGGUGUAGCGGUGAAAUGCGUAGAUAUCACGAAGAACUCCGAUUGCGAAGGCAGCUUACUAGA
Molecule: ribosomal RNA, 398 nt
Filed under: uncultured bacterium
Lineage: Bacteria
Description: partial 16S ribosomal RNA
Rfam family: Bacterial small subunit ribosomal RNA
Source: RNAcentral